CUACGGGUCGCACCAGUGAGGAAUAUUGCACAAUGGGGGGAACCCUGAUGCAGCGACGCCGCGUGGAGGAUGACGCAUUUCGGUGUGUAAACUCCUUUUAUAUGUCAAGAAAAUGACGGUAGCAUAUGAAUAAGCACCGGCUAACUCCGUGCCAGCAGCCGCGGUAAUACGGAGGGUGCAAGCGUUACUCGGAAUCACUGGGCGUAAAGGACGCGUAGGCGGGUUGGAAAGUCAGGUGUGAAAUCCUACAGCUUAACUGUAGAACUGCACUUGAAACUUCUAAUCUAGAGUAUGGGAGGGGGAGAUGGAAUUAGUGGUGUAGGGGUAAAAUCCGUAGAUAUCACUAGGAAUAACUAAAGCGAAGGCGAUCUCCUGGAACAUUACUGACGCUAAGGCGUGAAAGCGUGGGGAGCAAACAGGAUUAGAUACCCGCGUAGUC
RNAcentral lists this ribosomal RNA (439 nucleotides) under uncultured bacterium. Its description in RNAcentral is "partial 16S ribosomal RNA". It matches the Rfam family "Bacterial small subunit ribosomal RNA", at positions 339 to 795 of the family's 1533-position model. The record is from RNAcentral.